AGACUUAGGUGGCAGGGGAGACAACACGAUGAUGAGGCUGGCUUUUCCCAGGGUGAGGCUCAGCCAUUGCAAGGCAGCUGUUCCGAUCCCUUCUAGUUCCUCACAGGUCAGAAAACUUGCAUGCAGAAUUUGUGAUAAUGGUGUUUGCAUUUACCCUCUCCUU
Molecule: small nuclear RNA, 163 nt
Filed under: Phascolarctos cinereus (koala)
Lineage: Eukaryota; Metazoa; Chordata; Mammalia; Diprotodontia; Phascolarctidae
Description: U1 spliceosomal RNA (ENSPCIG00000000754.2)
Rfam family: U1 spliceosomal RNA
About the family: U1 is a small nuclear RNA (snRNA) component of the spliceosome (involved in pre-mRNA splicing).
Source: RNAcentral